RNAcentral lists this long non-coding RNA (821 nucleotides) under Neodiprion pinetum (white pine sawfly). Its description in RNAcentral is "uncharacterized LOC124221911". Lineage: Eukaryota; Metazoa; Arthropoda; Insecta; Hymenoptera; Diprionidae. The record is from RNAcentral.
CGUCGCAGAAGGCGACGAGAAUGUGGAAAUAAAAAUAAGAAAAAGGGGAAACAACAAGAAAAGUGCGAGAGAUAAUCAGAAGACGGGAGAAUUCUGUGGAUCACCAUUCGGAUGCGCUGAUCCAUAAAAGUGUCGCCGUGAUCCAGACGAUUUCGGAAACCCUCCGCGACCGGGAGGUGGCGGUCGCGAAUCAGGAGAGAGAGGUAACAAAGCGAGAGACCCUUCUUCUACGGGCCGUCAUUGGUGAAGACCUCCAGGAGGAGUCGGCGGCAGAGGAGGCGGAGGAGGAGGUGGGCGCGAGAGUGGACCAGGGGAGGGAAGUCGCCGCGGAGGGGCGAGUCGUCCACAGGUCACCAGAAAAUAAUUAUAUCACCGUCGUCGCAGAAGGCGACGAGAAUGUGGAAAUAAAAAUAAGAAAAAGGGGAAACAACAAGAAAAGUGCGAGAGAUAAUCAGAAGACGGGAGAAUUCUGUGGAUCACCAUUCGGAUGCGCUGAUCCAUAAAAGUGUCGCCGUGAUCCAGACAAUUUCGGAAACCCUCCGCGACCGGGAGGUGGCGGUCGCGAAUCAGGAGAGAGAGGUAACAAAGCGAGAGACCCUUCUUCUACGGGCCGUCAUUGGUGAAGACCUCCAGGAGGAGUCGGCGGCAGAGGAGGCGGAGGAGGAGGUGGGCGCGAGAGUGGACCAGGGGAGGGAAGUCGCCGCGGAGGGGCGAGUCGUCCACAGGUCACCAGAAAAUAAUUAUAUCACCGUCGUCGCAGAAGGCGACGAGAAUGUGGAAAUAAAAAUAAGAAAAAGGGGAAACGUACGUAAAUACGGAAA